GAUGAACGCUGGCGGCGUGCCUAAUACAUGCAAGUUGAGCGCACGGACGAGAAGCUUGCUUCUCUGAUGUUAGCGGCGGACGGGUGAGUAACACGUGGAUAACCUACCUAUAAGACUGGGAUAACUUCGGGAAACCGGAGCUAAUACCGGAUAAUAUUUUGAACCGCAUGGUUCAAAAGUGAAGGACGGUCUUGCUGUCACUUAUAGAUGGAUCCGCGCUGCAUUAGCUAGUUGGUAAGGUAACGGCUUACCAAGGCAACGAUGCAUAGCCGACCUGAGAGGGUGAUCGGCCACACUGGAACUGAGCCACGGUCCAGACUCCUACGGGAGGCAGCAGUAGGGAAUCUUCCGCAAUGGGCGAAAGCCUGACGGAGCAACGCCGCGUGAGUGAUGAAGGUCUUCGGAUCGUAAAACUCUGUUAUUAGGGAAGAACAUAUGUGUAAGUAACUGUGCACAUCUUGACGGUACCUAAUCAGAAAGCCACGGCUAACUACGUG
Molecule: ribosomal RNA, 497 nt
Filed under: uncultured bacterium
Lineage: Bacteria
Description: partial 16S ribosomal RNA
Rfam family: Bacterial small subunit ribosomal RNA
Source: RNAcentral